Sphingomonas sp. Leaf231 is the source of this 73-nucleotide transfer RNA. It matches the Rfam family "tRNA". Rfam says of the family: Transfer RNA (tRNA) molecules are approximately 80 nucleotides in length. Their secondary structure includes four short double-helical elements and three loops (D, anti-codon, and T loops). Lineage: Bacteria; Pseudomonadati; Pseudomonadota; Alphaproteobacteria; Sphingomonadales; Sphingomonadaceae. The record is from Rfam.
AGGAGUGUAGCUCAGUUGGUAGAGCAUCGGUCUCCAAAACCGAGGGCCGUGGGUUCGAGUCCCCCCACUCCUG